AUACGUAGGUGACAAGCGUUAUCCGGAUUUACUGGGCGUAAAGGGCGUGUAGGCGGUCUUGCAAGUCAGAAGUGAAAUUCCUGAGCUCAACUCGGGCGCUGCUUCUGAAACUGCAGGACUUGAGUGCUGGAGGGGAUAGCGGAAUUCCUAGUGGAGCGGUAAAAUGCGCAGAUAUUAGGAAGAACACCGGUGGCGAAGGCAGCUAUCUGGACAGUAACUGACGCUGAGGCGCGAAAGCGUGGGGAGCAAACAGGAUUAGAUACCCUGGUAGUCCACGCUGUAAACGAUGGGUACUAGGUGUAGGAGGUAUCGACCCCUUCUGUGCCGGAGUUAACGCAAUAAGUACCCCGCCUGGGGACUACGGUCGCAAGACUAAAACUUAAAUGAAUUGGCGGGG
RNAcentral lists this ribosomal RNA (397 nucleotides) under uncultured bacterium. RNAcentral's name for it is "partial 16S ribosomal RNA". It matches the Rfam family "Bacterial small subunit ribosomal RNA", at positions 523 to 918 of the family's 1533-position model. The record is from RNAcentral.